RNAcentral lists this ribosomal RNA (539 nucleotides) under Metapenaeopsis palmensis. RNAcentral describes it as "partial large subunit ribosomal RNA". It matches the Rfam family "Bacterial large subunit ribosomal RNA", at positions 1828 to 2611 of the family's 2925-position model. The record is from RNAcentral. Lineage: Eukaryota; Metazoa; Arthropoda; Malacostraca; Decapoda; Penaeidae.
AAAACAUGUCUGUAUGGUUGGUGUAUAGAGUCUAGCCUGCCCACUGAUAAGGUUAAAGGGCCGCGGUAUUUUGACCGUGCGAAGGUAGCAUAAUCAUUAGUCUUUUAAUUGGAGGCUUGUAUGAAUGGUUGGACAAAAAGCAAACUGUCUCAAUUAUAUUAUUUGAAUUUAACUUUUAAGUGAAAAGGCUUAAAUGUACUAAAGGGACGAUAAGACCCUAUAAAGCUUUACAAUUAUUUAAUUGAAUUAUAAAUUGUUGGUUUAACUUGGUUUAAUUAAUAGUUGUUUCGUUGGGGCGACGAGAAUAAAAUUAAAGUAACUGUUCUUUUAUAGAUAGUCACAAGUUUAUUUGGUUAAAGAUUGAUCCUUUAUUAAAGAUCAAAAGAUUAAGUUACUUUAGGGAUAACAGCGUAAUCCUCUUUGAGAGUUCAUAUCGACAAGAGGGGUUGCGACCUCGAUGUUGAAUUAAAGUAUCCUUGCGGUGUAGCAGUUACAAGGGAGGGUCUGUUCGACCUUUAAUUCUUUACAUGAUCUGAUCU